This 253-nucleotide ribosomal RNA is filed under the name uncultured bacterium. RNAcentral describes it as "partial 16S ribosomal RNA". It matches the Rfam family "Bacterial small subunit ribosomal RNA", at positions 524 to 776 of the family's 1533-position model. The record is from RNAcentral.
UACGAAGGGGGCUAGCGUUGCUCGGAAUCACUGGGCGUAAAGCGCACGUAGGCGGAUUGCUAAGUCAGGGGUGAAAUCCUGGAGCUCAACUCCAGAACUGCCUUUGAUACUGAAAAUCUUGAGUAUGGGAGAGGUGAGUGGAACUGCGAGUGUAGAGGUGAAAUUCGUAGAUAUUCGCAAGAACACCAGUGGCGAAGGCGGCUCACUGGCCCAUAACUGACGCUGAGGCACGAAAGCGUGGGGAGCAAACAGG